UAUGGGAUGACAGCAACAAUGAAUAAGAAAGCAUUGUAGGCA
RNAcentral lists this small RNA (42 nucleotides) under Arabidopsis thaliana (thale cress). Its description in RNAcentral is "ATSL080190". The record is from RNAcentral. Lineage: Eukaryota; Viridiplantae; Streptophyta; Magnoliopsida; Brassicales; Brassicaceae.